This is a small nuclear RNA of Hyaena hyaena (striped hyena), 107 nucleotides long. The record is from RefSeq and is a predicted model, not a curated record. NCBI's taxonomy places the organism in Eukaryota, Metazoa, Chordata, Mammalia, Carnivora, Hyaenidae.
GGGCUCACCUUGGGAACACAUAUACUAAAAUUGUAACAAUAUAGAAAAAAUUAGCAUGGACCGUGUGCAAGAAUGACAUGAAAAUUCAUGAAGCAUUCUAUAUAUUU